Molecule: ribosomal RNA, 253 nt
Filed under: uncultured bacterium
Lineage: Bacteria
Description: partial 16S ribosomal RNA
Rfam family: Bacterial small subunit ribosomal RNA
Source: RNAcentral
GACGUAGGGGGCGAGCGUUGUCCGGAUUCAUUGGGCGUAAAGCGCGCGUAGGCGGCCCGGUAAGUCGGAUGUGAAAUCUCACGGCUCAACCGUGGAACUGCAUUCGAAACUGUCGGGCUAGAGGCAGGUAGGGGAGAUCGGAAUUCCCGGUGUAGCGGUGAAAUGCGCAGAUAUCGGGAGGAACACCAAUGGCGAAGGCAGCUCGCUGGGACGGUACUGACGCUGAGGCGCGAAAGCGUGGGGAGCAAACAGG